AUUGAACGCUGGCGGCAUGCCUUACACAUGCAAGUCGAACGGUAACAGGUUAAGCUGACGAGUGGCGAACGGGUGAGUAAUAUAUCGGAACGUGCCCAGUCGUGGGGGAUAACGUAGCGAAAGCUACGCUAAUACCGCAUACGAUCUACGGAUGAAAGCGGGGGAUCGCAAGACCUCGCGCGGUUGGAGCGGCCGAUAUCAGAUUAGGUUGUUGGUGAGGUAAAAGCUCACCAAGCCUGCGAUCUGUAGCUGGUCUGAGAGGACGACCAGCCACACUGGAACUGAGACACGGUCCAGACUCCUACGGGAGGCAGCAGUGGGGAAUUUUGGACAAUGGACGCAAGUCUAAUCCAGCAAUGCCGCGUGCAGGACGAAGGCCUUCGGGUUGUAAACUGCUUUUGUACGGAACGAAACGGUGAGCUCUAAUACAGUUUGCUAAUGACGGUACCGUAAGAAUAAGCACCGGCUAACUACGUGCCAGCCGCCGCGGUAA
RNAcentral lists this ribosomal RNA (493 nucleotides) under uncultured bacterium. RNAcentral describes it as "partial 16S ribosomal RNA". It matches the Rfam family "Bacterial small subunit ribosomal RNA", at positions 30 to 523 of the family's 1533-position model. The record is from RNAcentral.